This 429-nucleotide ribosomal RNA is filed under the name Chloroflexota bacterium. RNAcentral's name for it is "Chloroflexi bacterium partial 16S ribosomal RNA". It matches the Rfam family "Bacterial small subunit ribosomal RNA", at positions 355 to 776 of the family's 1533-position model. The record is from RNAcentral. Lineage: Bacteria; Bacillati; Chloroflexota.
UAGGGAAUCUUCGGCAAUGGACGAAAGUCUGACCGAGCAACGCCGCGUGAGUGAAGAAGGUUUUCGGAUCGUAAAACUCUGUUGUUAGAGAAGAACAAGGACGUUAGUAACUGAACGUCCCCUGACGGUAUCUAACCAGAAAGCCACGGCUAACUACGUGCCAGCAGCCGCGGUAAUACGUAGGUGGCAAGCGUUGUCCGGAUUUAUUGGGCGUAAAGCGAGCGCAGGCGGUCUGUCAAGUCGGAUGUGAAAUCCCCGGGCUCAACCUGGGAACUGCAUUCGAAACUGGCAGGCUAGAGUCUUGUAGAGGGGGGUAGAAUUCCAUGUGUAGCGGUGAAAUGCGUAGAGAUGUGGAGGAAUACCGGUGGCGAAGGCGGCCCCCUGGACAAAGACUGACGCUCAGGUGCGAAAGCGUGGGGAGCAAACAGG